Molecule: long non-coding RNA, 348 nt
Filed under: Mytilus galloprovincialis (Mediterranean mussel)
Lineage: Eukaryota; Metazoa; Mollusca; Bivalvia; Mytilida; Mytilidae
Source: RNAcentral
CUCUUCUUGGAAAGGUAUACUGACUAUACUGUUAAUAUAAUUUGAAGAAGGAAAAUGAUUGGUUUUGUUUGUAGCCUUACGUCCAGUGGCAAAUAUUUCAUUCAUGUUCAGAUCGAGUAUAUUUUUCUGACGUUCCAGACUCCCAGAUAUUAUUCAUUAUCGUUAUGGAUAAGUUUGGCAACGAGAUAAUGCAAAUCUGAGACCUCAGUGCAAAUGUACAUAGUUUUCUUGCGUUUAACAACACUGUGUUCAUUACUAUGAUAUCCCAUAAUUCAUCCACUGUACAAUUUUCGUUUUCACAAGAGCAUUUGUCAAAACAGAAUCUUAAAUCAUGAAUGUAAAUCCAAG